AGAAUGUUGUUUAAAUAAAUGAUAUGAAUCGGUGUGGUACGAAUCAUCGCAGCAAAUUAUCUAUUUUGAUAUUAUGUAGUCAUAAUCUAUAUAUAUUAACAAAUAAAAACUUUGUCUUUCUUCUUUCACUCCUUAUCUUUUAGAGAGAGGACGAUUUGCCGUAUACCGGAAUAUUGUUAUAAAUAUUGUUUUUCCCAUUCUAAUCGAAUAUUUUUUUCGCUUUGUUGGUUUAUUUUCUCUCCCUUAUCUGAAUCUAAUAAAAUUGCGACUUAAUUCUUUGCUAAGAUCAUUUCUCUCUAUUUCUACAAGAUCUGAAUUUGAAUCCUGCUUGCCAUAUUUGAUCUUCUCGUCCCACCGUUGGCUUAAUUCCAAUCUUUAGCUAGAAUAAUAUAUUUGUCGAUUAUUAUGACGAGGACCUCAACUAGGUCUUAGGCGUAGCUUCUGCUAGGAAUCAAGGUUAAGAUGAUGAAGGAUUAACGAUAUCUUCUUGCAACGACGAAAGCGGUGGAAGUCAAUCGAAUUUGCAACGACAAACUUUGUAGAAGGAGUUUGGUGGUGGAUUUGUGAAGUUAGGGGCAGAAUUUGCACUGAAUCGUGGAUCUUGGGCGGUACCGACUGUAUCUCUCUCUCCUUCUCGCGUAUCAACACGUGUUGUACAUGUGGCACCUUAGAGCAACCACAGUGAUUAGUUUAUAAAGUUUCUAAGUAUUUUUUAUUAAAAAGUUUUGAUAGUUUUGUAGUUUUGAGAUUUUGUACAGUUUUUGAAAAUUUUAUGGUCCAUUGGUGGAAUCCUUAAGUGGGUUUCU
Molecule: small RNA, 806 nt
Filed under: Arabidopsis thaliana (thale cress)
Lineage: Eukaryota; Viridiplantae; Streptophyta; Magnoliopsida; Brassicales; Brassicaceae
Description: ATSL277210
Source: RNAcentral